UGAAGAAGAAGAAGAAUAUUAUUUCAGUAGUAAUGCAGAAAAACUCAACUGUACAUUUACAAUGGAACAGUGCUUAUAUAUGCACACAUACUGACUCCUAACCGACUAACAGAAGAAUUAACAUCUUUCAUAACUAACUUGGCUAAUCCCUUAACUACCAUUAAUUGUCCUUAUGUAUUACAUCAAGUAACCCCUAUCAACACACCAAGCUUGCCUACUAAAAACUCAUGUUGCAAUCUGGAUAGUCCUUUGGUUAAUAUGUCUGCAAGUUGCUCCUUAGAGCUUACAUGUUCAGUCUUCAUAAUCCCUGCCUGUAUCUUCUAUCUGAUAAAAUGACAAUCAAUUUCUAUAUGUUUUGUUCUCUCAUGAAACACCGGAUUAGCUGCUAUUUGCAAAGCUGCCCUGCUAUCACUGUACACUAUAGCUGGUUGUUCUACUUCAUUCCCCAGUUCUUUCAACAUUGCAAUAAUCCAUACUAACUCUGAAACUGCAUUAACCAUGCUUCUAUACUCAGAUUCAGCUGAGCUUCUAGAUACCACACUCUGCUUCUUUGAUUUCCAUGACAACAAUGUUUCACCAUGUUUAACUAGAAAACUUGACACUGAUCUUCUUGUAUUAGGGCAUGCUGCCCAAUCUGCAUCACAAUAGACACUUAGAUUGUUUGACUGUUUGCUACUUAAUAGUAUUCCAAGUCCUGGUUCCCUCUUUACAUACUUCAUCACCCUUAUUGCUGCUUCCCAGUGUGUCCUCUUAGGCUGCUGUAAAAAUUGGCUGAGUGUUUAGACUGAAUAGGCAAUAUCUGGUCUUGUCAUAGUCAAAUAUAACAUUUUGCCUACUAACCUUUGAUAUUGUUCCUUGUCUUCAAAAAACUCAUCCUCUAGAUCUCCUGUGAGACAGUCCACGAAAGUGAGCUUGUUCUCGAAUUAGCGCACUAGAAAUCGAAGAUUGAAGAUUAUUUCCGACAAGCGCACAUUCAUAGGCUGUUAGCAGGAUAAGGCGAGAAAGAUAUUGAAUGAGUUUAAAGAACAUUUAUCUAAGCUAAGCCCAGUUAAUCCUACUAUCUUCAGGAGUUCUGGAACUGUUAACUUCAUAUUGGCUUCAAGUGGAGUCCAAGCAGGUUUGGCACUUCCCAAUCCCAAGUUUGAAAUGAUUUCCAAGGCAUACUUCCUUUGGUUCAUUAAAAUACCUUUGGUAGAUCUACUAAACUCCAUACCAAGAAAAAAACUUCAAUUCACCAAGAUCUUUGAUCUUGAAAGUUUUGUGCAAAACAUUCUUGUGUGUUCAAUAAGAGUCAAAUUGCUUCCUGUUACCAACAUAUCAUCUACAUAAACAAGAAUCACCACCAUGUCUGAACCUUUCCUUUUGAUGAACAAUGAAUGAUCUAAACUGCUUUGGACAAAAUCAAAUUCCAAUAGUGCUUCAGUCAACUUCAAAUUUCAUUGCCUACUAGCCUGUUUAAGCCCAUAGAGGGAUUUGACAAGUCUGCAUACAAGUCCAGACUUCCCCUGACUUGCAAAACCCUCUAGCAACUGCAUAUAGACUUCAUCAUAAAGAUCACCUUGAAAAAAGGCAUUAUAAACAUCUAACUAUUGAACAUGCCACCCAUGCUGAGCAGCCAAAGAAAGAACAGUCCUGACAGUAGCAAUCUUAACAACUGGAGAGAAAGUUUCAUGGAAAUCAAAACCUGCCCUUUGAGUGUAACCUUUUGCCACUAGUCUAUCUUUAACUCGUUCAAUAUUCCCAUCAGCUUUCAGUUUCACUUUAUAAACCCACCUACAGCCAAUAGAAACAUUGCCUUGAGGAAAUGGGACCAAAUCCCAUGUUUGAUUGUCUUGGAGGGCUUGCAAUUCAGAUUGCAUAGCCUCCAUCCAUCUCACAUCUGAAGCUGCCUCUUUGUAAGAUUUAGGUUCACAUAUAGCAGAAAAAACUUUCAAAUAUUUCUAAUAAGGUGGUGACAAGUGAUCAUAAGAAACAAAAUUUUCUAGUGGAUACAAGACAGUGUUAGCUGAGGGUUUGGAAACAUAAUCUGAAAACCAUAAAGGCUGCUUAGAUGUUCUGGUAGAUCUCCUAAGAGGUGGAGAUGCAUGAAGGAUGUGAGCAGAUGGUAUAGGUGGUGAAACAACAGGAACAUGAACUAAAAGUGGAUGUAGAGGGGGUAGAUCACUUGGAGGUGUAGUGAUAUCAGCUGGUAAAUCAUCCUGGAUAUAAAACUCAGGAGAAUGAGAAAACUCAUGGUAGGAAGGUUCAACUGACUUAGAGAAGUGUUGAAAAUGAUAUUGAUCUUCAUGAAAUAUCACAUCUCUGUUUACAAAGAAUUUUUUGUGUUGAAGAUCAAAACAUAUGUAACCUUUAGUAACACUUAAAUACCCCAUAAACACUGACCUUAUUGCCCUUGGUGCAAACUUAUCAGUUCUAGGCAUAUUGCUUGCAAAGCAUAAACAACCAAGUGUUCUCAAGUGUGUAAGGCUUGGUUUUUGUCCAAAAAAGACUUCAUAAGGUGACUUGCCUUCUAAAGUAUGGGAAGGUAGUCUGUUUAUGAUAUAGGCUGCAGUAAGAAUACAAUUCCCCCAAAACUGAAGUGGAAUAUGUCCCUGAAACCUCAGAGCUCUGGUAACCUCAAGAAGGUGCAUGUGCUUCCUCUCAGCAAUUCCAUUCUGUUGAGGGGUAUGAGCACAUGUCUUAUAAUGUAUGAUACCAGAUUCUGUCAACAAUGCAUGCAUUGAACUACUAAUGAAUUCACCCCCAUUAUCUGUUCUCACACCUUUAACUGUAGUAUUAAACUGAGUAACAGCCAUUCUGAAAAACUGUUUAAGAAGCAGCAACACAUCACUUUUGUAUUUCAACAGAAAGACCCAUACAGUUCUUGAAAAAUUAUCAGCAAUGGUGAGAAAAAACUUGUUUCCAUCAAAAGUAGGGGUAUUAUAUGGACCCCAAACAUCCAAAUGUAGUAAAGUAAACAAUGCAUUGGACCUAGUAAUAUUGCUAGGAAAGGGAAAUCUAGUAUGUUUAGCUAAAGGACAUAUCUCACAAUUAUGUAAAACUGCUUUACAAUCGUCAAGAGUGUAACCUAAGAUGUCUUUAUUAGACCCUACUGAGGCAUGUGCAAGUCUUCUGUGCCACAACAUAAUGUUCUUCUUGUCACUUUGUGCAGCAAAACUUUUAGCAUUAUCAUUGGCAUGAACUUUGGUGUUAUAAGAGUUGGACUGAGUUAAAAAAAUAGAGACCAUUCUCUUAAUCUACCAAUCCCUUUCAGUUUCCCAUUGGAAAGGUCUUGGAAUAAACAAAAUCCAAGAUAAAAAGAUUCAAAACAAUUGAGUUAUUUGGUAACUUUUGAUAUAGACAAAAGAUUGUAGUGGAAAUCUGGCACAAACAAGACAUCAUGUAAUACUUCUAUGUCUACUAGCUUGUAACUACCUGUAUGAGUUACCAAUGUUACACCACCUUUUGAUAAAUAAAUUCUCCUGUUUUGUUCAGUCUUAACAACUCUCACAUCAUGCAAAACUUCUAAACUAGAAACCAUGUGAUUAGUUGCACCACUAUCAAUUAUCCAUUUCAGUUUGGCAAUUUUGGAGAUAGGAGUAUGAACCAUACCUGCCAUAUUAGCCAUCACAUUUGCAGUAGCAUUAUUCCCAUCAAACAUCUGUAAAAUGUUACCAUGUUGGUCACUAGUUAACUAUAGAGCUCUUGGCAGAUCCUUAGGGAUUGAAGGAUCCAAACCAUUAUCUCUUACACCUAAUUGCAUAUAAUGUGAAUUAUUAUCAGCUUGUACAUGAUAAGUAGUGUUUCCUGUUCCCUUCUUCUUAAACUUUCAAUCAGGUGGGUAUCUAUGAAGUUUAAAAUAGUUAUCCUCCACAUGACCUUGUAGCUUGCAAAAGUCACAUAUUUUGUCCCAAUUUCUCUUGCCUUUGUGGUAGUGUUGUGUAGAUGACUGUGACUGUGAAGCUGAUGUGCCUUUGUUAUAACGAUUAGGCAUUCCUUUCCCAGCCAUGAGAGCAGCCAGAUCUUCACCCUCACCACCUAUGGAGGAUGUUAGAGAUCUCUGACUCUCCCUUUCAACAAGCAUAGCAUAUGCCUUGUUGAUAGUAGGAGUAGGCUCUACUAUGAGAAUUUGACUACGUGAUUGAUUAUAAUUUUCAUUCAGCCCCAUCAAAAAUUGCAUCAUUUUUUGUUUCUCUAGAUGUACAGUAAAAUCCUUAGAAGUAGGGCAAUUACAGGAAGGUGGUACAAUGCUCGCAAACUCAUCCCACAAAUUUCGUAAUUUGGAGAAAUAAGUAGGAAUGAUAUCAGUACCUUGUACAGUAGUGGCUAUAGCUUUAUGUAGCUGGUAGAUCCUCGAAGCAUUCACUUUAUCAAAACGCUCCCUGAGAUCUUCCCAAACUGCUCUUGCACUUGUUGCAUAGACAAUCCAAUGUGUAAUUCCGAAGUAACUGAACUCAUGAUCCAACCCUGACAAUGGCAUUGCAUCGAUCCCAUUGAUGCCCUAACUCUGCUCCGAAAUCCUCCCUAGUCAGGCUGCCAUCGACAAUUCCAAGCUUGUUCUUCCCAAGCAAUUGAAUGCGCAUAGCCCUGCUCCAAAUGGAGUAGUUAUCAGAUCCAAUCAGCUGCAUAGGAAUGAUAGAAGCACCAGUGGUGUCGGAGUGAUGCAAAAAUAAAGAAUGAUUGUGAUCAAACUUAGGUGCCGCCAUUGAUGAGGAUCAACUAAGCUCGAAACUGCACAAUUAACUUCAAUAAACCUCAUAAUCGUGGGUGUGUGACUCUGAUACCAUGUUGAAUUAUGAGAAACUACACAAUCCUAGCAUACCAUAGAUGAGCUAAUCAGAGAGACAUUGAAGAAGAAGAAGAAGAAUAUUAUUUCAGUAGUAAUGCAGAAAAACUCAAAUGUACAUUUACAAUGGAACAGUGCUUAUAUAUGCACACAUACUGACUCCUAACCGAUUAACAGAAGAAUUAACAACUUUCAUAACCAACUUGGCUAAUCCCUUAACUACCCUUAAUUGUCCUUAUGUAUUACAUCAAGUAACCCCUAUCAC
This 5030-nucleotide long non-coding RNA is filed under the name Solanum tuberosum (potato). RNAcentral describes it as "long non-coding RNA (STUB_LNC009062)". Lineage: Eukaryota; Viridiplantae; Streptophyta; Magnoliopsida; Solanales; Solanaceae. The record is from RNAcentral.